UAAGUUCAUGAUAUUACAUGCAUUUAACCCAAAUAAAUUCACAACCUAAACAAUAAUUUAUAGUUCCUAACAACAUAUAUCACAACAAACUCCAUCACUUACUCUUUCCAAAAUAAUAGUACAAAAUAAUAUGCAAAUAGUUCAAAUAAAAAACUUCCAAUUGUGACAACUUCUUGCACUGAAUCUACAAAGUAAUUAUACCGAACCUAUAAUUAACUUCUUGCACUGAAUCUACAAACAUUUGAUGAAGCAGUCUGCUAUCUCUUCAUGAUACUCCAUCAAUCCCUUAAUUAAAUCACCCCAUUUAAUCUCCUCAACUAAAUAUUAAAUGUCUGUAAUUAAUGUAGAGAAGAUGGUUUUAGAAGAUGAUGACCUGAUUUAGCAUCCAUUUGAAACCAACAACAACUGUGCAUUUUAACUCCAAGUGCAAACUGCUACCCAGUUCCUGAAGACUUAAUCAAGCGGAGGCAAAUAACUAGAGAUGUAUGUUGCCAAAUAGAUUCGAAUCACCAAAAGUAAAAGAAUAAAAUUAGAAAACUUGAAUUAAAAUCAAGAACAAGAAAUAUCUAAAUGAAUUGGGUGUGAGAAUUGCAUCACUUGCGUCUGCUUCUUCUUUUUCUUACCUGAGAAAAGGGAGGUCGGACUUCGGAGAGGGAGGGCGUGAGGGGGCUCACGAGCAGAUUCUGGGAGAAGUCGAGGGUGGUGGGUGGCGAGAUUCCGGCAGACGGGCGCGGCGGCACUGGAGAGAGGCGAGAGAUCAGACGAGAGGGUGCAGAGGGAGAUGGGCGCGGCAGCGCUGGAGAUUCCACCGGCGCCGAUGGCCGGUGGGACGGGGCACCGGUCGCCGGAGGCAGACGGAAGGGCGUGAAGGGCGUGGAGUUGAGAGACAGGCUGAAUCUGAAUUCAAAAUUCUGAUUCUGAUGCCCUAGGCUAAAUGUAUUAAUUAAUUUGAUAAA
This 956-nucleotide long non-coding RNA is filed under the name Salvia miltiorrhiza (redroot sage). Its description in RNAcentral is "long non-coding RNA (SMIL_LNC009317)". Lineage: Eukaryota; Viridiplantae; Streptophyta; Magnoliopsida; Lamiales; Lamiaceae. The record is from RNAcentral.